AUGAACGCUGGCGGCGUGCUUCACCCAUGCCAGUAGCACGAUGAAGCCCAGCUUGCUGGGUGGAUUAGUGGCGAACGGGUGAGUAACACGUGAGUAACCUGCCCUUAACUCUGGGAUAAGCCUGGGAAACUGGGUCUAAUACCGGAUAGGAGCGUCCACCGCAUGGUGGGUGUUGGAAAGAUUUAUCGGUUUUGGAUGGACUCGCGGCCUAUCAGCUUGUUGGUGAGGUAAUGGCUCACCAAGGCGACGACGGGUAGCCGGCCUGAGAGGGUGACCGGCCACACUGGGACUGAGACACGGCCCAGACUCCUACGGGAGGCAGCAGUGGGGAAUAUUGCACAAUGGGCGCAAGCCUGAUGCAGCGACGCCGCGUGAGGGAUGACGGCCUUCGGGUUGUAAACCUCUUUCAGUAGGGAAGAAGCGAAAGUGACGGUACCUGCAGAAGAAGCACCGGCUAACUACGUG
This 465-nucleotide ribosomal RNA is filed under the name uncultured bacterium. RNAcentral's name for it is "partial 16S ribosomal RNA". It matches the Rfam family "Bacterial small subunit ribosomal RNA", at positions 29 to 507 of the family's 1533-position model. The record is from RNAcentral.